CUCGAUAAAACUUUAUUGUUAGUGACCAGUGAAUUGAACUUUUUUAACUGUGUUUUGGGUACAGGGUAACCUCAAUGGAGGAACUCCCACCAAAUGCGACCUCUAGCGAACAAAAUUGGUAAAAACUUUCGGGUAGAUUCCAAUUCCUAACCAACAAAAAAAAAAAAAAAAAAAAGAAAAGCUCAUAAGCUCGCACAGUGAAUUUCAAGUUUAUUGCAAUCAUUUUGAUCGUGUCGUAUGAACUAAAAGAAGGAACAAGUGUGCUAGUAUUCUAUGUUUAGUGUGAUAAUUUUUAUUUCGCCUUCAAUUUAUCUUCUGGCAAAUCGUUCAGUGCCGUACCAAAAUUGGUUCUUGCUGGGUUGCGGAGCUCUCUUUCAUCAAGGUCCCACAUUUUACCUUAACACUGGUUACUGGUGUCUAUACCUUGCCGGACACACUAAUCAUAUUUGCCGUAUCUCACUCCAGGUGACCAUUGCCUGAGACCAUCAAACUCAGAUCACCUGGCGGGAAUCGAACCCGGGACCUCUUGGUCAUAGGGCCUGUGCUACAACCACUACACCACAGGAGGCCAACAAUGAUUAGGAAUAAUGGUCAGCUUGUAUAAAUUUGUCCUUGUUGGAAUUUUGGGUCACAGUAAUUAAGUAAUCUGACUAACUACUUAAUCUCCAUUUCAAGAAAAGUGCACAAUUUUGUUAAUGUAACAGUAAUUAUGCAACUGUAGGUGAGGGGAUUCAAGUGUUCAAGUUUCAGUGACAAGUCCUUUCAUCACCGAAGGAAAUCCUCAUAGUCAAAACAAUGGUAUAGUCACUGUGACUUUUGUGGUGUAAACAUAAAUUUGAAAAAUUUUGAGGAGAAAAAUCUCAAUUUGGUCCUAGACGUUCGAUAAUACAUGCCUCGAGCCCUUCAAUGUAAAUUCUGCACUAACUUCAUUGUUUCAUUAUUUUUCACUAGCAGGAAACCCGUGCUACGCACAGGAAAACCCCACCAUCAGCAAUCACUGUGAUUAGUGAUCAAUUACUAAUUAUUGUGUUUCUGAAUAAUUAUCUACUAUUUCAAAAUUGGCGAGACGCACUGGUUUGAUAAAAAAGUAGAGAUUAGUAGUAUGUUGCUAUUUUGGUCUGUUCUGCAGUAAGCUCAUAUGAUAAUUAUACUAAUCAAAAAUACCCAAUCAAAAGUUGGUUAUUUUCAUAAAGAUUUGUUACUUUUGUCAGUUCAAUGUUUAAUUGAAGUUAGCUGGUGAGUUUCAGCCGCGAAAAUUACGGGAUUUAACCAGCGGUUUCGCUUAAUUCUCAGCAAUGGCGGGUUUGUCAUCUACAUCGCGGAGAAAACUUGAUUUUUCAAGGGAUUUUGUAAAACAAAUUAGAAAUUACUUGAUAUGAUCACCACGGUAUCGCUGCAAAUACGU
This 1405-nucleotide long non-coding RNA is filed under the name Bemisia tabaci. Its description in RNAcentral is "lncRNA ENSASIAIIG007836". Lineage: Eukaryota; Metazoa; Arthropoda; Insecta; Hemiptera; Aleyrodidae. The record is from RNAcentral.